RNAcentral lists this transfer RNA (76 nucleotides) under Candidatus Ornithoclostridium faecigallinarum. Its description in RNAcentral is "tRNA-Thr". It matches the Rfam family "tRNA". From Rfam's summary of the family: Transfer RNA (tRNA) molecules are approximately 80 nucleotides in length. Their secondary structure includes four short double-helical elements and three loops (D, anti-codon, and T loops). The record is from RNAcentral. Lineage: Bacteria; Bacillati; Bacillota; Clostridia; Christensenellales; Christensenellaceae.
GCUGGUGUAGCUCAACUGGCAGAGCAGCUGAUUUGUAAUCAGCAGGUUGCUGGUUCGAUUCCGGUCACCAGCUCCA